GACGAACGCUGGCGGCGUGCUUAACACAUGCAAGUCGAACGCUGAAGCUCAGCUUGCUGGGUGGAUGAGUGGCGAACGGGUGAGUAACACGUGAGUAACCUGCCCUCUUCUUUGGGAUAACGCCCGGAAACGGGUGCUAAUACUGGAUAUUCACUGAUUCUCGCAUGGGGGUUGGUGGAAAGGUUUUUUCUGGUGGGGGAUGGGCUCGCGGCCUAUCAGCUUGUUGGUGGGGUGAUGGCCUACCAAGGCUUUGACGGGUAGCCGGCCUGAGAGGGUGACCGGUCACAUUGGGACUGAGAUACGGCCCAGACUCCUACGGGAGGCAGCAGUGGGGAAUAUUGCACAAUGGGCGAAAGCCUGAUGCAGCGACGCCGCGUGAGGGAGGGAGGCCUUCGGGUUGUAAACCUCUUUCGCUCAUGGUCAAGCCGCAGCGUUGGGUUGUGGUGAGGGUAGUGGGUAAAGAAGCGCCGGCUAACUACGUG
This 482-nucleotide ribosomal RNA is filed under the name uncultured bacterium. RNAcentral describes it as "partial 16S ribosomal RNA". It matches the Rfam family "Bacterial small subunit ribosomal RNA", at positions 28 to 507 of the family's 1533-position model. The record is from RNAcentral.